Prinia subflava (tawny-flanked prinia) is the source of this 1431-nucleotide long non-coding RNA. RefSeq lists it as uncharacterized. The record is from RefSeq and is a predicted model, not a curated record. The transcript has 3 exons. Lineage: Eukaryota; Metazoa; Chordata; Aves; Passeriformes; Cisticolidae.
GCUUUCCCAUUGUCCCGGGCACGCAGGGAUUGGCUGGCCACUGUGGGAAACUCCGAGUCGCUCCGGACCCAGAGUUUUGUAUGCGGCUCCUGCGUAUAAAUAGGGCAGAUCCCGGCUCCCUUCUCCACUCCGAGCUGGAAGCAGCCCUUGGGAUAACGGGGCUCUCUCCCUGGACAUUCCCUCCGAGGGCAGCGCAGGCCCCGGGAACCCCCGAUCGGAUUUACAGCAGCUGGAAGUGCUCCUGGAGAAGGGAUUUCAGAGGCGCCAGCUGCGGAAAGACGAAAUCCUGAGGGGAUGGCUGCGAGCGAGCCGGGAUACGGGCGAGCUUGUGCAGCCCCUGCCAAGGACGAUCCCGGCGGGCAGUGCCCCGGGGCGGGUCUGCAAUUCCCGUCCCUCCGUUCCACCGGCGCAGGAGGCGGGGGAAGCGGAGCUGCCACUCCCGGAGGUCACAGGUGGCACCUGGGGACUCUGGUUCUUCCUCCGCACGCACCUCCAGCCAGCAGCCUCCUGCAAAAACAGCACUGAAGCGAUUCCAAAGCCUCCGGAGGCGCUGGAAUUCCGUGAUUUUUGGACGUUUCGAGUAUUCCAGAGGAGAUCAUGACUUGCUGUCCAAGUCGCCCGCACUCCUCUCAUGAGUAGGGAAGAAUGUUUCCCCUUUGCAGGUCGUUGCUCUGCUCCCCUUCUCUAAGAAGGACUGCAACGAUCCCACCGCGUGGAGAGAAAGUUGUUCUGAGGGAAUGUGAGCUGUAUCCUCCUGCCGGGGGGGCUGGAGGGGCCGUUCGGAGCCGAACCACGGCUGUUCUUAACCUCUGCGAGGUGUCCGUGUACCUGUGCUGGGAAAGCUGUAACCCUGGGACCGCCAGAAUUCCCAAAAAUGUCCCUGCGGGAGGAGCCUUUGACUCCUCGGGGUCCCUCACCUGGAGUGCCCCAGGGUCUCAUUGGACACAUUUGGGAAUCUGGCCUUCCCACGGUGCCAUGAUAUAUUAUAUAUCACUAUAACAUUUAUAGUCUGUGCUGAGAGCGCUCUGAGAAUGGUUAAACCAUAUCCCAAACUAUGUAGAGGAAAUUCCUCGGGAUGUCUUGCUCACGAGCCGGGGCUGUUUGUGAGGUUCAGGAUGCGUGUGUGUCUUUUGUAAAGGCAGGAGCUCGUUUUUAUGUCCUUAUAGGACUGAAAGUUACGGCUGUGCUGUUGAUUAUAGAAGAAAUAUUUAUCAAAGUCUUUCAUGAAAGGCAGGUGUAUAAAUUGUAUUUAGUUUUUGGUACCCUUUUGCCGGGGGAAAAUGGGAAUUUGUUACUGUCCUUGGAGGAUGUUAUGAUGUGUUCUGUGCAAGCUGCACCAAUGUAUGACCUGUGCCAGAGUUAUCUUGAACGUCAGAAGUUGCAGAAACUUUUAAUGGUCAUAAAUAAAUAAAAAUCUGGUUAAUCAAACUA